UCAAUGUUCUGACGAAGGCUUCCGGCCCUGCAGCUCAUUCCUCCGGCAACUCCGUCUUGUUCUCAAUGAGCGAGAUCUCCAGCACAGGCAAGAGGAGCUGAAAGGCAUCCUGAAUAUAAGAAGCACUGUUUGAUGCCUCUAGAAAUACUGCAGUAAUUAACAGAUUAAGGACGUCUGCCUUUUCUUUGGCCUAGAAUAAAGGACAAAGUGGUAAAUACAGCAGAUUAAAAAAACAAUAAACAUGGUAUGAUCCCACUUUGAAACACGUGUGUACACACACAUGCUUACACGGCAUAUACACACACCCAUACAUAAAUGUAAGCACAGAAAGAGUCUGGACUGACAGAGCAAAAUGUCAUCUCUGGAAGUGCUUUAAAUUUCCUUCUAUCUUUCUGUGCUAUCCAAAUUGAGAAAUGUAUACCUUUGCAAUUUUUUAUUGAUUUUAAAAAGUAUUUUCAUUUUGGAAGAGGGAACAGACAUGGGACAUCUGACCAAAAAACUUCAGAAAAAUUUUAAAACAAAAUAUGCAGAUAUGAAGUGUGUGCUCAAAAUACUCAAUGGUUUUUAAGAUGGCUGUUUGAAAACCACCAAAAUAAUGCAAAUUUAUUGCUCGCAUGCGUUAGCGCUUACAGCUGACUAACUGGGUUCAAGUACCCUUAUGAAACACAUGGGAAGAUUUGGCCUCAAAAGAUUAACUUCAGGAAACCAAGAUCUCUUUUAAAGAAAAUAUAAGAGGAAAAGAGAAGCUAUAUCAUUCGGUUAGAUCUGUAAGGUAUAAUCUGAAUUCAAAAGUAAAGGAAUUAAAUUUGGGCCAUUCUCUUAACCGAAAUAAAUUUAAGGACUCAGAAUAACUGCUGCCACGAUGACACUUAUAUGUACUUAUUAUAAAGUAAUUUUUACUUCAAUUGAGGUAAUAACUGACAUGUAAUACUUUAGUGGUAGUUUCAUAUGUACAACAUAAUGAUUUGGUAUCUGCAAAU
Long non-coding RNA from Phyllostomus discolor (pale spear-nosed bat), 980 nucleotides. RefSeq lists it as uncharacterized. NCBI's taxonomy places the organism in Eukaryota, Metazoa, Chordata, Mammalia, Chiroptera, Phyllostomidae. The transcript has 3 exons. The record is from RefSeq and is a predicted model, not a curated record.